AACGAACGCUGGCGGCAUGCCUAACACAUGCAAGUCGAACGAAAACUUCGGGUCUUGUGGCGCACGGGUGCGUCACGCGUGGGAACCUGCCCUUAGGUUCGGAAUAACUACCCGAAAGGGGUGCUAAUACCGGAUAAUAUCUUCGGACCAAAGAUUUAUCGCAUUUGGAUGGGCCCGCGUUGGAUUAGCUAGUUGGUAGGGUAAAAGCCUACCAAGGCGACGAUCCAUAGCUGGUCUGAGAGGAUGAUUAGCCACACUGGGACUGAGACACGGCCCAGACUCCUACGGGAGGCAGCAGUGGGGAAUAUUGGACCAUGGGCGAAAGCCUGAUCCAGCAAGGCCGCGUGAGUGAUGAAGGCCUUAGGGUUGUAAAGCGCUUUUACCCGGGAUGAUAAUGACAGUACCGGGAGAAUAAGCUCCGGCUAACUCCGUG
This 433-nucleotide ribosomal RNA is filed under the name uncultured bacterium. RNAcentral's name for it is "partial 16S ribosomal RNA". It matches the Rfam family "Bacterial small subunit ribosomal RNA", at positions 29 to 507 of the family's 1533-position model. The record is from RNAcentral.